RNAcentral lists this transfer RNA (74 nucleotides) under Microspora stagnorum. RNAcentral describes it as "tRNA-Ile". It matches the Rfam family "tRNA". Rfam says of the family: Transfer RNA (tRNA) molecules are approximately 80 nucleotides in length. Lineage: Eukaryota; Viridiplantae; Chlorophyta; Chlorophyceae; Microsporaceae. The record is from RNAcentral.
UGCAGGGUAGAGCAAUUGGUUAGCUCGUCGGGUUGAUGAUCCCGAGCGUGUAGGUUCAAAUCCUACUCCUACAC